RNAcentral lists this small nucleolar RNA (147 nucleotides) under Mus pahari (shrew mouse). RNAcentral's name for it is "predicted gene, 24696 (MGP_PahariEiJ_G0034296.1)". It matches the Rfam family "Small nucleolar RNA SNORA42/SNORA80 family". Rfam says of the family: The members of this family belong to the H/ACA class of snoRNAs that guide the sites of modification of uridines to pseudouridines. Human ACA42 (SNORA42) was cloned from HeLa cells by immunoprecipitation with anti-GAR1 antibody. Lineage: Eukaryota; Metazoa; Chordata; Mammalia; Rodentia; Muridae. The record is from RNAcentral.
GCAUGGGUUUGGAUAUAUGGCAGGCCCGUUCCCCUGGGUCUCUCAUUGUGUCCCAUACUAGAGCAAUCCAUGGCCCCGAACCAUUGCCUGACCUGUGUCUGUAGGCUGCUGACACUGAAUGCUGACACUGAAGUGGGCCACAAAGUU